AAAACCGAUCGUAGUCCGGAUCGCAGUCUGCAACUCGACUGCGUGAAGUCGGAAUCGCUAGUAAUCGUGAAUCAGAAUGUCACGGUGAAUACGUUCCCGGGCCUUGUACACACCGCCCGUCACACCAUGGGAGUGGGUUGCUCCAGAAGUAGCUAGUCUAACCUUCGGGGGGACGGUUACCACGGAGUGAUUCAUGACUGGGGUGAAGUCGUAACAAGGUAGCCGUAGGGGAACCUGCGGCUGGAUCACCUCCUUAA
RNAcentral lists this ribosomal RNA (257 nucleotides) under Pseudomonas sp. RW407. Its description in RNAcentral is "partial 16S ribosomal RNA". It matches the Rfam family "Bacterial small subunit ribosomal RNA", at positions 1278 to 1533 of the family's 1533-position model. The record is from RNAcentral. Lineage: Bacteria; Pseudomonadati; Pseudomonadota; Gammaproteobacteria; Pseudomonadales; Pseudomonadaceae.